AAAUAUUCAGAUAUUUUUAUUGAGACAGCAUUACAGAAGAACAGUUAAAUACUCAAAUGGAUAUAUUUCUUCAACACUGUACAGCUUUAGGAAAAUGUACACAUUUUUAUAUCUUACUAUAAAUUAAGAUUCUACACAGGCUGUGCAGUGUGUUUAUACAUUUAUUUAACAUUUAUUUCUAUAUGAUGGUUAUGAAGAAUUACUCUUUUAUCUUUGUAGUGCACAAGGUUUAUGAAUCAUGAGAUAGUUUAUCCAUAAUUUUAUUUAUAUAGCACUAUUAAACACAACCAUGUAUUGACCAAUGUGCUGAACAACAACAAUAAAAACAUUUGAAUAAGACAAAACAAAAUAAUACUAUAAAACAUAAAGUAGAAAAUUCUCAGUUACAAAACGGCAAAAAGGUAAGUUUUCAACAUAGAUUUAAGUUUUUAAAUCUAUGUUGACAUUACUAGUUAAUGUAUAGGUUACCAUCAUUUUCUUUUUGAUGGGUUACUCCUUUAAAAAGCAAAUGAUGGUAACCUAAGUAGGUGAGGAAGGAAAAAAAUUAAACAGCUGGUUAAAACAAAUGUUUGUUUGUUUUUUUUCAGAUAGUGAAGGUGCAGAUCUAAUACAGAGGGGCAAGGCAUUCCACAAUCUAGGGGCAGCUACCGAGAAAGCGCAGUCACCCCUGCAUUUCAGCCUCAACUUAGGGAUGCAGAACAAUCUCUGGUUGGACGACCGAAGAGACAAGAGGGGCUGAUGUUCAGUCAAUAAGUCAGAAAGAUAGAUGUGUUUGAGCACCCAGUUAACAGAAGCAGAGCUCUGGGACAUGCGGACAGACAUUCGCUGUAAUGAUGGACAUCUGCUCAUGGACAGGCUGGAAAGCAUAACCGCUGCUGGACAUCGCUCUGGGACUCAGGGGGGAUGCAGACCUUCUUUCACACACUACAGAGAUCCAGCAACCUCUGAACCAUGACACAGGGCUCUUACCUGUGAAAGAACUUAUAUUUCACUGUUAACCUGUAAUUUUACAAUAAACUAAUUCAAGCUUUCA
Molecule: long non-coding RNA, 1033 nt
Organism: Cyprinus carpio (common carp)
Lineage: Eukaryota; Metazoa; Chordata; Actinopteri; Cypriniformes; Cyprinidae
Exons: 3
Source: RefSeq, a predicted model, not a curated record